Molecule: ribosomal RNA, 314 nt
Filed under: uncultured eukaryote
Lineage: Eukaryota
Description: partial 18S ribosomal RNA
Rfam family: Eukaryotic small subunit ribosomal RNA
Source: RNAcentral
CCCCUAGAUGUUCUGGGCCGCACGCGCGCUACACUGAACAGUUCAACAAGUCUUAACCUUGGCCGAUAGGUCUGGGCAAUCUUUGAACGCUGGUCGUGAUGGGGAUAGACUUUUGCAAUUUUUGGUCUUCAACGAGGAAUUCCUAGUAAACGCAAGUCAUCAACUUGCAUUGAUUACGUCCCUGCCCUUUGUACACACCGCCCGUCGCACCUACCGAUUGAAUGGUCCGGUGAAGCCUCCGGAUUGGCGCGCACCUCGGUGCCGCCGAGAAGUUGGCUAAACCUUACCAUUUAGAGGAAGGUGAANUCGUANCA